GGAAGAGUAUGAGGAGUAUCAACAUUAAUUCUUCCCUGAAAUUCUGCUAAAAUUCUGUGGUCUACUCCUUUGUGUGAAAUAUUUAACAAAGACACAGACGUCUGAUCAGGGCCUGCAGAUCUUGCCAAGAUGCACUGUGAGCAAGACUUGCCAGUGGGUGGUGAAACACGGGUCAUCCUGCAGUCCACAUCUGUGAAGCCAGGAAUAGACAGUUUUUCAAAAACAUGAGGGAGCUCUUCAAAUAGAAGAGGAUGAUUAGAAUCAAUGGGACUCGGAAGUAUGAACUCUCCCAACGUUCUCUCCGCUCACUUCCACUGCACUGCCGUGGAGAAAGCAGCAGUUCUGCCACAUUGUUCCUGCUUUGGAGUCACCAACCAUGGGCCAGAUCUUUUGAACUGGUGAAUUUAAACUGAGAGGGGAAGCACUCAAGAUGUUCUUCAACAGAGGAAUAAACCUUGAGGUUUUAGUUCCUGACUGGCUGGCCAUCGUGGUGCAAGGACCUGGCAGAGAAAAUCUCAAGUCAUGCUGUCUUACAAGGAGAACACAAGGGGAAGAGCCAGAGUAUAAGGGAUUUGUCUUGGUUACUUUCACAUCGCUGAGACAAAAUACUUGAUGUUCACAACUUAAAGAAGGUUUAUUUCAUCUCGUGGUUUCAGUCAGUGGUUGGCUGGCUCCAAGGCAGGAAUAGGAUGGCAAAGGGGCAUGGCAGAGGAAAAGGUUCUUCACCUAUGGCAACCAGGAAGCACAGAGAAAAGAGCCAGGGACAAUAAUACACCUUUUCAAGUCACGCCCCCAGUGACCCAUCUCCGAUCAGGCCCCAUUUCCUAAUAGCAAGUCGGGUAUAAUGCCCCCAUGAUCCAAAAACCUUCCAAAUGCAUGAGGUUUCCAGGGCCAUUUUGGACCUGAACCAUAAUAGGAUCAGACACCAGAUGUAUUCCCUAAGGCCAUGCCCUCAGGGCCCAACCAAACACACUCAGAAAUGUUCUUUACUUAGUCUUGUAGGCAUAAUCUUACAAGCCAACCAAGUUCACAGUCACAAUCACAGCACAGAAAAGCAUACACCAGCAUGAAAUGCAUAUUGCUAUACGAAGGUAGCCAAUCUGACAAGUCUACAUACUCUGAGUCCACUGACAUAACUUUAUAACACAGAGUGAAUUUUUAAUUUAUACAUAUUUUAAGACAGAAAUAGAUCAAUGGAUACAGAAUGGGAUGCAGAAUAUUAAAAAGAUAUAAUGUGUGAAAUAAUCUUACUGAGGAAGACAGGGAGGGAAAAUAUUAAUCUAAUUAACUUUGGACAUGGGUGGAGAUUGUAUGACUAAAAGCAAAAGGAACCAUUCAUAAGAACCAUAUUCUAUUCUACUUGUUAAAGUUCUUUUCCAUGGGAGUAUAGAUUAAUAUUUCUGAAAUCACUAAUAUUUUAGAAUAAAUAAAUAAAUCAACAGAUGACAGAGAAGGUAGCUGAAUUACAAAUAAACAAGAGGUAAGUUAUAGUGAUCUAUGCAAUAAUGGAUUCAAAUUGUGGGUAUCAGUAUGAACUCAUGCUUAGCUUAGUAUAAAUAUAUAUAAAUACAUGUGGAAAUUCCUUUAGCUUUGUUUAAAUAUACAAGAUAUUACAUAUGCGUAUAUAGGUAUUUCCUUUCUCUGUCAGUUAGGAGUGUUUAGAAACAGUGACACCCCAGUGACACUGAGCAUGUCUAGCACCCAGGGUUUGGUUUUAAAUUCUAUGCUUUUAGAAAGAGAAACGGAACUCCAUGGAGAAACGGUUGAUUGCAGGGCUGGGUGUGGAAUAUGCAAGAUGCACCCGGAGUACCUGUGGUAGCAGAGAGUAAAUCUUGAAAAAAAUUGGUGUUCAAGGUAUAUUAAAGGGACGUAGGAGCCAACUGAUGGAGCUCCCAAGGCCAAAACUAGAAUAGCUUGAGAAACAAAAUAGAUGGCUUAACACUGGUUUAUAACCCAGAAUGUAAAUAAAUGUCUACUAUUUCAUAUGAUGAGAAUGGACAAACCUAUAUAGAGGUACCCCCUCUGGAUGAAGUAGAGAAAACUUCCACCCUUUAAAUGUGGGCUGUGUAUAAUGGCCUCCUUCCGUAUGGGGUGGAGAAGAAGAAUAACUUUACAGUGGAGUCCCUCGAAAAACCUUAUCUCAAUGCAGUGACCGAGAGUAGCAGCAUCAGUGACCAUUUGUAUUGUUAGCAUGCAUCCUUCCUAUGAUGAGAUGAGGAUGUAAGUUUACAUCUGCCCUCUUCCCCUUUUUAUAACUCAGUUUUAAUUAUGAGAAAAGUAAAAGACAACUCAAAUGAAGGGAUAUUCUACAUAAUUGCUAGCAGACGCUACUCAAUAUUGUCAGGAUGAUAGUUUGAGAAAUGAAAAUCGGAGGCACUGUCAUGCUCGAGAGGAGGCUAAGAGACUUGCCAACUAAAUGUAAUUACGUAUUCUUGAUAAGAUCCUAGAACAGGAGAAAAGGCAUUAGGUUAAACCUAGGGGAACCUGAAUAAUGUAUAGACUCAAUACGUAUUAAAAACUCAAUACUUUAAAAAAAAAUCAUGUGUCAGCACUGGCUUAUUAGUGGUGACAAAAGCCCUAUAGUUAUGUAAGAUAUUGACAGUAGGAGAGAUUUGAUGCGGGCUAGAAGGGACCUCUCUGUGUAAACUUUGUAACUCUUCUGUAAAUAUACAAAUAUUAUUGAGAAUAUUUAUUUUUAAAUGCAUCUUGAGGGAGAGGAGAAGGAUUUCUUAAAAUCUGAGUAAGGUAGUACUGGGUUUGUGUUUGCCACUGAGUAGUUGAGUAGUGGAAUGUAUUGCUUUGCUAAUGAGUAGUUGGCCUGGAAUUUAAAUGAUUAUCAGUCAGCAUGUUAAGAAGUUAUAUCUCCUCUGGAGACUGCUUUUAUGUUUUCUUCUAAUCUGUCAAGUCAAUAAUCCCAAGAUGAGGAUUAAUUUGUAUUGUAUUCAGUUAGACAGAAUGAGAAACAUAAUCAAUGUGGUAGUACUGAAAUAAAAACUUGACUCUUUCUCACAAUAAUAGGCU
This is a long non-coding RNA of Chinchilla lanigera (long-tailed chinchilla), 3021 nucleotides long. RefSeq lists it as uncharacterized. Lineage: Eukaryota; Metazoa; Chordata; Mammalia; Rodentia; Chinchillidae. The transcript is spliced from 5 exons. The record is from RefSeq and is a predicted model, not a curated record.